GGACUACCCGGGUAUCUAAUCCUGUUUGCUCCCCACGCUUUCGCGCUUAAGCGUCAGUUACGGGCCAAAAGGCCGCCUUCGCAACCGGUAUUCCUCUCGAGAUCUACGCAUUUUACCGCUACUCCGAGAAUUCUACCUUUCUCUCCCGCACUCUAGUUCGCCAGUUUCACCUGCAUUUACUCGGUUAAGCCGAGCCCUUUUACAGUUGACUUAACAAACCGCCGACACGCUCUUUACGCCCAGUUAUUCCGAAUAACGCUCGCACCCUUCGUAUUACCGCGGCUGCUGGCAC
RNAcentral lists this ribosomal RNA (292 nucleotides) under uncultured bacterium. Its description in RNAcentral is "partial 16S ribosomal RNA". The record is from RNAcentral.